UAACACAUGCAAGUCAAACGGGUGGUAACACCAGUGGCGCACGGGUGAGUAAUGCAUGGGUCAUCUGCCUCGUAGAGGGGGAUAACUACGCGAAAGUGUAGCUAAUACCGCAUACGCAGGGAACUGCAAAGGAGGGGAUCGCAAGACCUUCCGCUACGAGAUGAGCUCAUGUCCCAUUAGCUAGUUGGCGGGGUAACAGCCCACCAAGGCUUAGAUGGGUAGCUGGUCUGAGAGGACGAUCAGCCACACUGGAACUGAGACACGGUCCAGACUCCUACGGGAGGCAGCAGUGGGGAAUAUUGCGCAAUGGGCGAAAGCCUGACGCAGCAACGCCGCGUGAGUGAUGAAGGCCUUCGGGUUGUAAAGCUCUUUCGGUUGGGAAGAAGGGUGUGCGUACUAAUAAUGCGUACAUUUGAUGGUACCAAAAGAAGAAGCACCGGCUAACUUCGUGCCAGCAGCCGCGGUAAUACGAAGGGUGCGAGCGUUGUUCGGAAUGACUGGGCGUAAAGGGUUCGUAGGCGGGAAUACAAGUCAAGUGUGAAAUCCCCAGGCUCAACCUGGGACGUGCACUUGAAACUGUAUUUCUUGAGUCGAGGAGAGGGUAAUGGAAUUGCUGGUGUAGGAGUGACAUCCGUAGAGAUCAGCAGGAACACCGGAGGCGAAGGCGAUUACCUGGCCGAAGACUGACGCUGAGGAACGAAAGCGUGGGGAGCAAACAGGAUUAGAUACCCUGGUAGUCCACGCCGUAAACGAUGAUAACUAGAUGUUGCGGGAAUUGACCCCUGCAGUAUCGCAGCUCACGCA
Molecule: ribosomal RNA, 804 nt
Filed under: uncultured Pseudomonadota bacterium
Lineage: Bacteria; Pseudomonadati; Pseudomonadota
Description: bacterial SSU rRNA
Rfam family: Bacterial small subunit ribosomal RNA
Source: RNAcentral